RNAcentral lists this ribosomal RNA (521 nucleotides) under uncultured bacterium. Its description in RNAcentral is "partial 16S ribosomal RNA". It matches the Rfam family "Bacterial small subunit ribosomal RNA", at positions 355 to 865 of the family's 1533-position model. The record is from RNAcentral.
UAGGGAAUCUUCCACAAUGGACGAAAGUCUGAUGGAGCAACGCCGCGUGAGUGAAGAAGGUUUUCGGAUCGUAAAGCUCUGUUGUUGGUGAAGAAGGAUAGAGGCAGUAACUGGUCUUUAUUUGACGGUAAUCAACCAGAAAGUCACGGCUAACUACGUGCCAGCAGCCGCGGUAAUACGUAGGUGGCAAGCGUUGUCCGGAUUUAUUGGGCGUAAAGCGAGCGCAGGCGGAAUGAUAAGUCUGAUGUGAAAGCCCACGGCUCAACCGUGGAACUGCAUCGGAAACUGUCAUUCUUGAGUGCAGAAGAGGAGAGUGGAACUCCAUGUGUAGCGGUGGAAUGCGUAGAUAUAUGGAAGAACACCAGUGGCGAAGGCGGCUCUCUGGUCUGCAACUGACGCUGAGGCUCGAAAGCAUGGGUAGCGAACAGGAUUAGAUACCCUGGUAGUCCAUGCCGUAAACGAUGAGCGCUAGGUGUUGGGGACUUUCCGGUCCUCAGUGCCGCAGCAAAAUCGCAUUAAGC